UACAGGGGGGGCAAGCGUUGUUCGGAAUUACUGGGCGUAAAGGGCGUGUAGGCGGCCGAGUAAGUCCGACGUGAAAUCCCUAGGCUUAACCUAGGAACUGCGUCGGAUACUGAUUGGCUUGAAUCCGGGAGAGGGAUGCGGAAUUCCAGGUGUAGCGGUGAAAUGCGUAGAUAUCUGGAGGAACACCGGUGGCGAAGGCGGCAUCCUGGACCGGCAUUGACGCUGAAGCGCGAAAGCGUGGGGAGCAAACAGG
This 253-nucleotide ribosomal RNA is filed under the name uncultured bacterium. RNAcentral's name for it is "partial 16S ribosomal RNA". It matches the Rfam family "Bacterial small subunit ribosomal RNA", at positions 524 to 776 of the family's 1533-position model. The record is from RNAcentral.